RNAcentral lists this transfer RNA (62 nucleotides) under Aspidomorpha difformis. RNAcentral's name for it is "tRNA-Arg". Lineage: Eukaryota; Metazoa; Arthropoda; Insecta; Coleoptera; Chrysomelidae. The record is from RNAcentral.
AAAUAAGAAGCAAAAUGCAUUUAGUUUCGACCUAAAACCUUGAUUUUUUUUAAUCCUUAUUU